Molecule: microRNA precursor, 81 nt
Organism: Neotoma lepida (desert woodrat)
Lineage: Eukaryota; Metazoa; Chordata; Mammalia; Rodentia; Cricetidae
Rfam family: mir-672 microRNA precursor family
Source: Rfam
CCUUUAGUUUUGAGGUUGGUGUACUGUGUGUGAGUAUACAUAUUUAUCACACACGGUCACCAUCUUCGAAAGUGAGGGUGC